CUUAGAUUCUUAACUCUAAAAAGAGCCUCUCACCUGAGGCCUUUACCUGAGAGCUGGAGCCUGUGCGAUGGAUUCUCUGGACAGGGACCCCAAUGAACAGGGCUUUUCUGGAGUGAGGGAGCAGACUGAGGGAAGAACCAGAAGGCUGCCAAAAUACAAUUGUGUGCCUUUAAAGGAAAUAACAACAAGAAUUAGGAGCGCCCUGGAGGCAAGGUCUGCUUCUGGGGAAACAAAGCCACAGUAACUUUAGAAAUAUGGUAUUAAUGGGUAAAGACACCAUGGAUAUGAAGGAGAUUACCUAUGGAAGAAUAUUAGGAAGAGAAGAAGGGGCUGCUGGCUGUAGUGAAAUGUAUAAAAAAGAGAGCGUGAUCCUAGUUUCUGUCUCUACUAUGGGUUACUUGUGAUUAACUUCAAAUAUUCCCUCCACAAGAAGAGGCCCAGAAGAAGAAAAUGAGCUUCAGUUAUUCUAGCACAACUACUGUGAUAUUUGUAAAGAUUCAAAACCUACAAUAAAAUGUAUAAAAGGAAACUCCAUUUGAAAUGAUUUGAAAUCUCACAUGGAAAUCUAGUUUUUUAAAUCAGAGCUUAGUCAGAGAAAAUAACAGAAUAUUGUAAUAAUUGAAUUACAAAAACAAAAAUUUUGGAAAAUAAUUUUUUCUCUCAUGUGAUGUGUGU
This is a long non-coding RNA of Mandrillus leucophaeus (drill), 675 nucleotides long. RefSeq lists it as uncharacterized. The record is from RefSeq and is a predicted model, not a curated record. The transcript is spliced from 5 exons. NCBI's taxonomy places the organism in Eukaryota, Metazoa, Chordata, Mammalia, Primates, Cercopithecidae.